This 461-nucleotide ribosomal RNA is filed under the name uncultured bacterium. Its description in RNAcentral is "SSU rRNA". It matches the Rfam family "Bacterial small subunit ribosomal RNA", at positions 26 to 518 of the family's 1533-position model. The record is from RNAcentral.
AGAAUCAACGCUGGCGGCGUGCCUAACACAUGCAAGUCGAACGAGAAAGGGACUUCGGUCCUGAGUAUAGUGGCGCACGGGUGAGUAACACGUGAAUAAUCUACCUCCGAGUGGGGAAUAACCAAAAGAAAUUUUGGCUAAUACCGCAUAACACUUACGAGUCAAAGCAGCAAUGCGCUUGGAGAGGAGUUCGCGGCAGAUUAGUUAGUUGGCGGGGUAAUGGCCCACCAAGACGAUGAUCUGUAUCCGGCCUGAGAGGGCGCACGGACACACUGGAACUGAAACACGGUCCAGACUCCUACGGGAGGCAGCAGUGGGGAAUUUUUGCGCAAUGGGGGAAACCCUGACGCAGCAACGCCGCGUGGAGGAUGAAGUAUCUUGGUACGUAAACUCCUUUCGAUGGGGAAGAUAAUGACGGUACCCAUAGAAGAAGCCCCGGCUAACUUCGCGCCAGCAGCCGC